UUGUAUUCUCAAUCAUAUGCAGGAGCUGAAAAACUUGAUCUCAUGGAGGUAGAAUGUAGAAUGAUAGAUACCAGAGGCAUCUGGGUUUGUGUGUUGUGGGGGAUGAAAAGAGAUUGGAUAAUAAGUAGAAACACAGAAUAAGUUCCAAUGCUCAAUAGCAGAGGAGGGUGACUAUAGUUAACAAUAACGGAUUGCAUAUUUCAAAAUAGCUAGAAGGGAAGAUUCAAAAUGUACCCAACACAUAGAAAUGUUAAGCACUUGAGGUGAUAGAUAUCCUUAAUAUCCUGACUUUACCAUUACAUAUUCUAUGCAUGUAACAAAAUACCACAUGUAGCCGAUAAGAUAUACAAAUAUUAUAAAUCAAUAAAAAUUGUAAAUAAAUAAAACAUUUAACUUAAAGGUAAGAUAAUAGUCUAAAAUUACUUUUCACUUAGUAGGUGAUUAGCAGGUUAAGUGAAACUGCAUACAGUAAAGAAUUAAGAUGUCCCCAGUCCCAGGUUCACAGAGCUGUGAGGUCUCUGCUGUUUCCUCUUGACAUCAAGGAACAACCCUGUCAUCAGAAUCAAGCAAAAAAUGGAAGCCCAAAGUGAUCUGAAGCAAUGGAGCCCCAGCUAAGGAAAGCGGAAUCCAUCUGACACCAAGCAGGAAGGUAAAUACUACAGUGAGGAGGCUGAGGUGGAUCUGCAGCACCCUGGCAGAGACGAUGAGUUAUACAAGACAUCUGCCAGGAGCUACAGAGGCUGAUGGCUGAGAUCCAAGACCUGAAGAGCGGGGGUGGCAAGAAUGUGGCAAUUGAAAUAGAAGAACAGAGGGUCCAGAGCUGUGUGCAUUUCACGACUUUGAAAAAGCUUAACCGAUUAGCCCACACCAGGUUGAAGAAAGGAAGAGAUCAAACACACGAGGCUAAGCAGAAAGUGGAUGCCUAUCACCGGCAGCUCCAGAACCUGUUGUAUGAGGUGAUGCACCUACAGAAGGAGAUCACCAAAUGUUUGGAGUUUAAGUCAAAGCAUGAAGAAAUUGAUUUGGUCAGUUUAGAGGAGUUUUAUAAGGAGGCUCCACCAGAUAUCAGCAAGGCUGAAGUCACCGUGGGAGACCCUCACCAGCAAACACUGGCACAUCUGGACUGGGAGCUGGAGCAAUGUAAAAGGCUGGCAGAGAAGUACCGUGAAUGCCUAUCCAACAAGGAGAAGAUCCUCAAGGAAACUGAGGUGAAGAAAGAGUCCCUGAGCAGCCUCCAGCUGUGCCUCAACAGCAUCAUGCAGGCUUCCCUUCCGGUGCAGGAGUACCUGUUUAUGCCAUCCGACCAGGCUCACAAGCAGGAUGAGACAGCCAGGCACCUGCCGCCUCCCCUCUGUUUCCUCUUUGUUCAGGCCACUGCGUAUGGGCAGGCCUGUGAUGAGACUAAGUUAUCUGUGGCAACUGAAGGCAGAGUGGACGAAGCCAAGGCUCUGUUCAAGCCUCCACAGGUCUCUCAAGAUGACGAGAGUGACUCGGAUGCUGAGGAGGAGCAGACCACAAAACGCUGGAGACCCACGCUGGGGGUUCAGUUGGAUGACAAACACAAGGAGACGCAGACAAGUCACCCACUGUCCGUCAUGCUUGACCUGAAGUGUAAAGAUGACAGUGUGCUUCACCUGACUUUCUUCUACCUCAUGAACCUGAAUAUCAUGACAGUAAAAGCCAAAGUGACAACUGCCACGGAGCUGAUCACCCCCAUCAGUGCAGGUGACUUGCUGUCUCCUGACUCAGUCCUGAAUUGCUUGUAUCCUAGGGAUCAUGGAAAGAAAACUCCAAAUCCAGCCAAUCAGUAUCAGUUUGAUAAAGUCGGCAUCCUGACUUUGAGCAACUAUGUACUUGAGUUAGAUCAUUCCUUUUUGUGGGUACAGAAGCUGGAUGGUCUCUACUUUCCCAAAGAGCAGCGCCAGCAAACAGUGAUUUCUGGCCACUCACUGAGCACCAGCCACAUGGAGACCACCAUGAAACUUCGGAAGACCAGGGUGCAGUCCCACGUGACCCUCCACAAACAGUUUACAUCCCUAGAGCAUGGCAUUGCACCAGUUACCAGUGAUUGCCAGUACCUCUUCCCUGCCAAUGUUGUCUCUUGCCUGGUGAAGUGGAUGACAGUUGCCCAUGAGGAUUACAUGGAGCUGCAUUUUACCAAAGACAUUGUGGAGGCGGGGCUGGCUGGGGACACCAAUCUCUACUACAUGGCAGUCAUCGAAAGGGACAGAGCCACACUGCAGGCUACUGUGGUGUUGAACCCUGGCUACUCCUCCAUCGCACCUAUUUUUCAGCUCUGUUUGAACUGGAAAGGGGAGAAAACAAACAGCAACAAUGACAACUUUCAGGCCAUGGAGAGCGAAAUCAAUGUUUGCUGCAGGGAGCUGUGUGGCCCUUGGCCCAGCCACCAGCUGUUGACCAACCAUCUGCAGCAGCUGUGUGUGCUGCUGGAUGUUUACCUGGAGACUGAAAGCCAUGACGACAGUGUGGAGGGGCCGAAGGAAUUUCCGCAGGAGAAUAUGUGUCUGCGGCUCUUCAGGGGUCCUGGCAGGAUGAAGCCGUUUAAAUACAACCAUCCUCAGGGAUUCUUCAGCCAUCGCUGACCUCCCACCCAGCCCGUUGUUUCCCCGAGGCCUCGCCCUGAGUACUGGGCUUUUGCUUACUGCUCUGGCCCACAUAUGACUCUUGAUAGUCUCCAAAGACACCAUCCGAUUAAAAAGCAUCACCUGAAAAAAAAAAAAGAAUUAAGAUGUCGGUGUCAUGUUAAAAUUCUAUUAUUGACUUGGAUAAUUUUGAAAAGUCUCUUGCUAUUUCUGUACUUCAGUUUUUUUGUCUCUAGGAUGAAGGUCAACAUUCAGCAUCUCACUACUUAGAUGUGAAUGAAAAUAAUUUAAGGAAAUAAUUUUAAUUCAUAAUGGGCUUUAAAAGGCUAAAGCCAAAGGAAUUAAAAUAAAAUGAUCUGUGUGACAUAACGUUUUAUACUCAUAAUUUUGAUUAUGUAUUUCAGAAAUACUAUUUUUUGCCUUACUUAGACUAUUUUUCUAAGUAAAAAUAGAUGAGGAAACUGAGGCAAAGAAGGAGAACUAUUUGCCUUUUAAUGGACCAAAUAAUGAUGUUGAAUCUAGGUCUUUUGGUAAACACAUUUCUUCCCACAACCCCCACCCAAAUGCUUUGUCUAAUCAUUUGGAAUGCUAUAAGUUGACAUUAGUUUUAAAAGGAAGAAAACAAUUUAUCCCUGGCAUUAGAGUAGAUAUCUUUAGUAUAAUAAUUAGUAUCACUUUAUCAUUAAUUUUCACAGUUUUAAUUCUUUAAAUUGCUAAUGUAAUUUAAAAGUCAUGAGUUGGUUGUAGUAUAUUUUGAAUAUAAAAAUAAAUGCCUUCUAAGCACCUAUUAGUCAGCACUGUCCUGGGUUACAGAUAGAGAAGAAAAAAAAAAACACCUGCUUGUCUGCCUACUCAUAUUAAUCCUAAAUCUUUGUAUCAGUUUUGCAUAUUACAUAUAUUGAAUACAGACACAAUUUAUAGAUGUGAAAACUGAGGAUUAAUGAAGUUGACAACUUUCCCCAGAGCUAUACUCAAAUGCCACUUUCUCCAUGAAGGCUUACAAGAUGAGGAAGAUUAGUGGACAGAAAUAGGGGAAAAACAACAUUUUAAGUAGCUGUAAUGGCAUGAACAAAGGACUAUGUGUACUGAAGCUCAGUUUGCCAAGGUAAUUAUGACUAGUAUGUUUUGACUGAAAUUUAAGGUAACUAUAGAAGAUAUGUGGGAGAUAAAGUAGCUUUAAGUUAGGUCAUGGUAGAGACUUAAUUACCUAGGAAAGAAAUUAGUACAUAAUUCAGUAGGAUUUAGGGAGCUAUGAAGAUCAGGGGAGUAGAACUGCAGGAUUUGGCAUGUAUGUUAUAAAAUGAAUGGAAGAAAGGUCAGACAGAGGCAUAUAGACCAAGUAGAAGACUCUUGCAAUGGUGAAGUCCUGAUGGCCCAAACUAGAUUGUUGUCACUAACCACAGAAAGAAAGAGACUUUAUAAAGGAAAAAGGAAAGAUGUAGUAAGUAAGGGAGUGAUACUAGAAGGUGGGAUCAGAAAUAGAAAAGAGAGAAAUUAGUUGGUGUUUGUUGAGGAGCCUGCAUUAUCAAUCUGACUUUAAAAAUGGUAAAUUUGAUACAUUUGUGGUGUGUCUAGUGCAAUUACUCAUCUGACGAUCAGAAACAUUAAUCUUGAGAAUGAAAAUGUGUAAAAAGCAUAGACUAAUAAUAUUGAUUUUAUAUGUUGGCUGCAUUAAGACAGAGGGAAUUGAAGUCCUGAGUGUAGAUGAAAUUUAUAGAGAGGAAAGAAGAUUGAGAAGCAUCUAAUUUUGAAAAGCAAAAGGUAGAAAAGUGGAACCCAUGGAAUCAGGGAAAGAAUAUCAAAGAGGUAGGAUAAGAUCAUAAGUGUCCUAUGAUCUCAUGAGAACACUAUGUCUGAGAUAGGGGAGGGGCAAAGGGGGGUAAGAUGUUCAACAAAGCUGGAUUCUUUUCAGGGUCUAAGUUACAAUCUAAUAGGAAGCCAUUGAAAUUUGUGAUUAGGAGGUCAUAAGUUACUUUUGAGAGAGCCAUUUAAGGAGUCUGUGGAUUACUAGUAAGGUAUUAAAAUGGGUGGAUAGUGGGUUAAAUGAAGACACUAAGAGCAGUUGAGAAAUUGGUUGCAAAA
This is an RNA transcript of Sapajus apella (tufted capuchin), 4685 nucleotides long. It is a transcript of the gene named THO complex subunit 5 homolog pseudogene, with no coding region annotated. The record is from RefSeq and is a predicted model, not a curated record. Lineage: Eukaryota; Metazoa; Chordata; Mammalia; Primates; Cebidae. The transcript has a single exon.